GGGGCCUUAGCUCAGCGGUAGAGCAUCUGAUUCCAGUAUCACAUGACUGUUCCAGAAGGUCGUCCGUUCAAUCCGGGCAGGCCUCA
Molecule: non-coding RNA, 86 nt
Organism: Paramarasmius palmivorus
Lineage: Eukaryota; Fungi; Basidiomycota; Agaricomycetes; Agaricales; Marasmiaceae
Source: the annotation of a GenBank genome assembly